GACGAACGCUGGCGGCGUGCUUAACACAUGCAAGUCGAACGGAAAGGCCCUUCUUUUGUGGGGUGGUCUAGUUGCGAACGGGUGGGUAACACAUGAGGAGCCUGCCCUGGACUUUUGGAUAACUUCAGGACAUGGAAGCUAGGCCCAGAUAGGAGCUUCUGCGUCAGUGUGGUGGUUGGACAGUUUCGGCUGUUGGGGCUGUGCGUGCGGCUUAUCAGGUCGUUGGGGGGGUUGUGGGUUACCAAGGCUUUGACGGGUAGCCGGCCUGAGAGGGUUAGCGGCCACGUUGGGACUGCGAUGCGGGGCAGAAUCGUGGGGGAGGGAGCAGUGGGGAAUAGUGUACAGUGGGCGGAAGGCUGAUGCAGUAACGCCGCGUGGGGGAUGAAGGCCUUCGGGUUGUAAACCGCUUUCGCCUGUGACGAAGGGUGAGUGACGGUAAUGGGUAAAGAAGCACCGGCUAACUACGUG
RNAcentral lists this ribosomal RNA (468 nucleotides) under uncultured bacterium. Its description in RNAcentral is "partial 16S ribosomal RNA". It matches the Rfam family "Bacterial small subunit ribosomal RNA", at positions 28 to 507 of the family's 1533-position model. The record is from RNAcentral.